UGAGGAAUAUUGGACAAUGGGCGAAAGCCUGAUCCAGCCAUGCCGCGUGCAGGAAGAAUGCCCUACGGGUUGUAAACUGCUUUUGUUAGGGAAGAAACCCCGGGACGUGUCCCGGGCUGACGGUACCUUUCGAAUAAGGACCGGCUAACUCCGUGCCAGCAGCCGCGGUAAUACGGAGGGUCCAAGCGUUAUCCGGAUUCAUUGGGUUUAAAGGGUCCGCAGGCGGGCUGAUAAGUCAGAGGUGAAAUCCUACAGCUCAACUGUAGAACUGCCUUUGAUACUGUCAGUCUUGAAUGUGCUCGACGUAGGCGGAAUGUGCCGUGUAGCGGUGAAAUGCUUAGAUAUGGCACAGAACACCGAUCGCGAAGGCAGCUUACGAGAGCAAUAUUGACGCUGAGGGACGAAAGCGUGGGGAGCGAACA
Molecule: ribosomal RNA, 422 nt
Filed under: uncultured bacterium
Lineage: Bacteria
Description: bacterial SSU rRNA
Rfam family: Bacterial small subunit ribosomal RNA
Source: RNAcentral